RNAcentral lists this ribosomal RNA (727 nucleotides) under Bacillus thuringiensis. RNAcentral's name for it is "bacterial SSU rRNA". It matches the Rfam family "Bacterial small subunit ribosomal RNA", at positions 57 to 766 of the family's 1533-position model. Lineage: Bacteria; Bacillati; Bacillota; Bacilli; Caryophanales; Bacillaceae. The record is from RNAcentral.
GCAGUCGAGCGAUGGAUUGAGAGCUUGCUCUCAAGAAGUUAGCGGCGGACGGGUGAGUAACACGUGGGUAACCUGCCCAUAAGACUGGGAUAACUCCGGGAAACCGGGGCUAAUACCGGAUAACAUUUUGAACUGCAUGGUUCGAAAUUGAAAGGCGGCUUCGGCUGUCACUUAUGGAUGGACCCGCGUCGCAUUAGCUAGUUGGUGAGGUAACGGCUCACCAAGGCAACGAUGCGUAGCCGACCUGAGAGGGUGAUCGGCCACACUGGGACUGAGACACGGCCCAGACUCCUACGGGAGGCAGCAGUAGGGAAUCUUCCGCAAUGGACGAAAGUCUGACGGAGCAACGCCGCGUGAGUGAUGAAGGCUUUCGGGUCGUAAAACUCUGUUGUUAGGGAAGAACAAGUGCUAGUUGAAUAAGCUGGCACCUUGACGGUACCUAACCAGAAAGCCACGGCUAACUACGUGCCAGCAGCCGCGGUAAUACGUAGGUGGCAAGCGUUAUCCGGAAUUAUUGGGCGUAAAGCGCGCGCAGGUGGUUUCUUAAGUCUGAUGUGAAAGCCCACGGCUCAACCGUGGAGGGUCAUUGGAAACUGGGAGACUUGAGUGCAGAAGAGGAAAGUGGAAUUCCAUGUGUAGCGGUGAAAUGCGUAGAGAUAUGGAGGAACACCAGUGGCGAAGGCGACUUUCUGGUCUGUAACUGACACUGAGGCGCGAAAGCGUGGGG